UCUUGCACGGACCAAGGACAUGUAUGUCUAUCUGGAAUUAUGAGGUUCUAGGCUUGGCUGUGUGAAGAUCAAAGCAGAGGAAGCCACACAAUGCAGAGAACCAACAGUGGAGCUACACCUAGUGAGAAGCAAAGAGACGAUGGAUGGCCUGAGAGGGAAAGAGACUGAGAAAAGCUGUCAGCUUUUAGUUCCUGGUUCCAGUCCUUUGUGACAGCCAGCUUGAUUAGAGAGAAAAGGUCAUUUGGAAAAUAUAGCCAUUUUUGGAAGACUGAGCAGCCAAGGUUCUUAAGAUUGGGACAAAACAAAGGAUGGAGCGUGUAAAGAGCAAAACCUUCCUGACAGAAUGUGGAUGGGCCAAAAACAGCAGUAAAGAGAUUAACCUCAAAUAGGAAAAUAUAUUCCUUGUGUGGAUAUUGGAGGAGAAACAAUGAAGAAUGGUCGCAGAUAUAGACAAUUACAGCAAGCUCUAGGAAAACUUUCUCUGAAAAAGGUUUAUAACAGUUCACUACUUCAUCCUCAAGCCAACACCUAUGAAAAAGAUAAUGGUGUCCGAUGACAGGCCUCUGCUAACAGUGUAAGGCUAUCUGUGAACUCCUCAGUCUACACAUAUCUUCCUCAGCCUCUGGGAUUCCAUUUCCACCCAAGAAUUAAAUUGAUAGAAAGAAAAACAGCAAAAUAUACACAUAUUUUUCCACUAUUAAAUCCAAUAAUGAUGACUUAAUUUCAGCAAAACAUCAUCAAUCGCAUUAAAUUAAUGUUGCUGUUAAUUUGAA
This is a long non-coding RNA of Gorilla gorilla gorilla (western lowland gorilla), 773 nucleotides long. RefSeq lists it as uncharacterized. The record is from RefSeq and is a predicted model, not a curated record. The transcript is spliced from 4 exons. Lineage: Eukaryota; Metazoa; Chordata; Mammalia; Primates; Hominidae.